UUCGGCGGCCAUAGCAAGAGGGAAACGCCCGGUCACAUUCCGAACCCGGAAGCUAAGACUCUUUGCGCCGAUGGUACUGCAGGGGGACCCUGUGGGAGAGUAGGACACCGCCGGAC
RNAcentral lists this ribosomal RNA (116 nucleotides) under Mycetocola zhujimingii. Lineage: Bacteria; Bacillati; Actinomycetota; Actinomycetes; Micrococcales; Microbacteriaceae. The record is from RNAcentral.